UUGCUCUUCAACGAGGAAUUCCUAGUAAGCGCGAGUCAUCAGCUCGCGUUGACUACGUCCCUGCCCUUUGUACACACCGCCCGUCGCUCCUACCGAUUGAAUGGUCCGGUGAAGUGUUCGGAUCGCGGCGACGUGGGCGGUUCGCCGCCGACGACGUCGCGAGAAGUUCACUGAACCUUAUCAUUUAGAGGAAGGAGAAGUCGUAACAAGGUUUCCGUAGGUGAACCUGCGGAAGGAUCAUUGUCGAAACCUGCUCAGCAGAACGACCCGUGAACGUGUUUACGAACAACGGGCUAGGUGUGCUUGGUGCCCCUCGCCCGAGCAGGGGAGCGCUCACUGGUGUGGUGCUUCCCAGCUACAUAAACGAACCCCGGCGCGAAAAGCGUCAAGGAACAUGAACUCAAUGUGAGCGCCUUGUCCCUGUUCGGUUAACCGUGCGGGGGGAGGUGCCAUGUCUUUAUAACAAUAAACGACUCUCGGCAACGGAUAUCUCGGCUCUCGCAUCGAUGAAGAACGUAGCGAAAAGCGAUACUUGGUGUGAAUUGCAGAAUCCCGUGAACCAUCGAGUCUUUGAACGCAAGUUGCGCCCGAAGCCUCGGCUAAGGGCACGUCUGCCUGGGCGUCACGCAUCGCGUCUCCCCCAAUCCGCCAAGGCGGAGGGGAAGGAAGAUGGAUUCCCGUGCCUCACCCGGCAUGGUUGGCCUAAAUUUGGAGCCCGCGGCACUUAGCUCUCGCGGCGAUAGGUGGUGAACAAGGCCUUGGCCGUGCAAAUAACCCGUUGCGAAGCUCUAUGUCACGUGCGCUCGUCGGACCCUUUGUAGUUGCCUUUGGUGACUUAAAACCUUUGCGACCCCAGGUCAGGCGGGGCUACCCGCUGAAUUUAAGCAUAUCAAUAAGCGGAGGA
RNAcentral lists this ribosomal RNA (904 nucleotides) under uncultured eukaryote. Its description in RNAcentral is "eukaryotic LSU rRNA". The stretch from base 1 to 243 matches the Rfam family "Eukaryotic small subunit ribosomal RNA", at positions 1593 to 1831 of the family's 1831-position model. The record is from RNAcentral.